UACGGGAGGCAGCAGUGGGGAAUAUUGCACAAUGGGCGCAAGCCUGAUGCAGCCAUGCCGCGUGUAUGAAGAAGGCCUUCGGGUUGUAAAGUACUUUCAGUCGUGAGGAAGGUGUUAAGGUUAAUAACCUUAGCAAUUGACGUUAGCGACAGAAGAAGCACCGGCUAACUCCGUGCCAGCAGCCGCGGUAAUACGGAGGGUACGAGCGUUAAUCGGAAUUACUGGGCGUAAAGGGCACGCAGGCGGUUAAUUAAGUUGGAUGUGAAAUCCCCGGGCUUAACCUGGGAAUGGCAUUCAAGACUGGUUAGCUAGAGUCUUGUAGAGGGGGUAGAAUUCCAUGUGUAGCGGUGAAAUGCGUAGAGAUGUGGAGGAAUACCGGUGGCGAAGGCGGCCCCUGGACAAAGACUGACGCUCAUGUGCGAAAGCGUGGGGAGCAAACAGGGAUUAGAUACC
Molecule: ribosomal RNA, 453 nt
Filed under: uncultured bacterium
Lineage: Bacteria
Description: bacterial SSU rRNA
Rfam family: Bacterial small subunit ribosomal RNA
Source: RNAcentral